This 700-nucleotide ribosomal RNA is filed under the name Arthrobacter sp. AI-8. RNAcentral's name for it is "bacterial SSU rRNA". It matches the Rfam family "Bacterial small subunit ribosomal RNA", at positions 28 to 742 of the family's 1533-position model. Lineage: Bacteria; Bacillati; Actinomycetota; Actinomycetes; Micrococcales; Micrococcaceae. The record is from RNAcentral.
GAUGAACGCUGGCGGCGUGCUUAACACAUGCAAGUCGAACGAUGAACCUCACUUGUGGGGGGAUUAGUGGCGAACGGGUGAGUAACACGUGAGUAACCUGCCCUUAACUCUGGGAUAAGCCUGGGAAACUGGGUCUAAUACCGGAUAUGACUCCUCAUCGCAUGGUGGGGGGUGGAAAGCUUUUUGUGGUUUUGGAUGGACUCGCGGCCUAUCAGCUUGUUGGUGAGGUAAUGGCUCACCAAGGCGACGACGGGUAGCCGGCCUGAGAGGGUGACCGGCCACACUGGGACUGAGACACGGCCCAGACUCCUACGGGAGGCAGCAGUGGGGAAUAUUGCACAAUGGGCGCAAGCCUGAUGCAGCGACGCCGCGUGAGGGAUGACGGCCUUCGGGUUGUAAACCUCUUUCAGUAGGGAAGAAGCGAAAGUGACGGUACCUGCAGAAGAAGCGCCGGCUAACUACGUGCCAGCAGCCGCGGUAAUACGUAGGGCGCAAGCGUUAUCCGGAAUUAUUGGGCGUAAAGAGCUCGUAGGCGGUUUGUCGCGUCUGCCGUGAAAGUCCGGGGCUCAACUCCGGAUCUGCGGUGGGUACCGGCAGACUAGAGUGAUGUAGGGGAGACUGGAAUUCCUGGUGUAGCGGUGAAAUGCCCAUAUAUCAGGAGGAACACCGAUGGCGAAGGCAGGUCUCUGGGCAUUAACUG